UACGUCAACAUUGAAGCCUUUC
RNAcentral lists this microRNA (22 nucleotides) under Scyliorhinus torazame (cloudy catshark). Its description in RNAcentral is "Sto-Mir-430-P1_5p* (star (passenger))". Lineage: Eukaryota; Metazoa; Chordata; Chondrichthyes; Carcharhiniformes; Scyliorhinidae. The record is from RNAcentral.